Molecule: ribosomal RNA, 253 nt
Filed under: uncultured bacterium
Lineage: Bacteria
Description: partial 16S ribosomal RNA
Rfam family: Bacterial small subunit ribosomal RNA
Source: RNAcentral
GACGAGGGGUCCUAGCGUUGUUCGGAAUCACUGGGCGUAAAGCGCACGUAGGCGGGUUCUUAAGUCAGGGGUGAAAUCCUGGAGCUCAACUCCAGAACUGCCUUUGAUACUGGGAAUCUCGAGUCCGGGAGAGGUGAGUGGAACUGCGAGUGUAGAGGUGAAAUUCGUAGAUAUUCGCAAGAACACCAGUGGCGAAGGCGGCUCACUGGCCCGGUACUGACGCUGAGGUGCGAAAGCGUGGGGAGCAAACGGG